AUCCAACUGGAAGCUAGAGUGUCUUGGGUGUCAUUGAAAUCGCUACGACCGAAUCGCAGGUUGCACCGACUCGAAAGGCCGAAGAGAGAGAAGUCGAUGGCUUCUCGCGCAAAAAUCAAAGACAUACCAUCCUCUUCUCUCAUCGUAUACGCGUGAGCUGCAUUGACCGCUACUGAACUUUGAUGUGUUUCCUGCACAAAAUUCACCUCCGAAGUCAUAAAUUAGCUACUGGAGACCGAUGCGUUUCUCUUUGGCUGGCUCCCUCGAACCUGCAUCAAUACCACGAGCUACCACUUCAGCGGGCUCAAAAGCAUCAAAAGCAAACGCUGGACAAACCUCAUCGGUUUGCUGAUGGCGAGAAUUAUCGAAGUAUGUAAUAUAACGGAUAUUCAAUCUGGAU
This is a long non-coding RNA of Acromyrmex echinatior (Panamanian leafcutter ant), 400 nucleotides long. Lineage: Eukaryota; Metazoa; Arthropoda; Insecta; Hymenoptera; Formicidae. The record is from RefSeq and is a predicted model, not a curated record.